RNAcentral lists this ribosomal RNA (239 nucleotides) under uncultured bacterium. RNAcentral's name for it is "partial 16S ribosomal RNA". It matches the Rfam family "Bacterial small subunit ribosomal RNA", at positions 538 to 776 of the family's 1533-position model. The record is from RNAcentral.
GCGUUGCUCGGAAUUACUGGGCGUAAAGGGCGCGUAGGCGGGAUGGCAAGUCGGUCGUGAAAUCCCUCGGCUCAACUGAGGAUCGUCGAUCGAUACUGCCGUUCUUGAGGAUUGCAGAGGAGACUGGAAUUCCCGGUGUAGCGGUGAAAUGUGUAGAGAUCGGGAGGAACACCGGUGGCGAAGGCGGGUCUCUGGGCAAUUCCUGACGCUGAGGAGCGAAAGCGUGGGGAGCGAACAGG